UACGUAGGGGGCUAGCGUUGUCCGGAAUCAUUGGGCGUAAAGAGCGCGUAGGCGGCUAGAUAAGUCCGGUGUGAAAGUCACAGGCUCAACCAGUGAAUGCCGCUGGAAACUGUCUGGCUAGAGUCCGGAAGGGGCGAGUGGAAUUCCUGGUGUAGCGGUGAAAUGCGCAGAUAUCAGGAGGAACACCAAUGGCGAAGGCAGCUCGCUGGGACGGUACUGACGCUGAGGCGCGAAAGCGUGGGGAGCAAACAGG
Molecule: ribosomal RNA, 253 nt
Filed under: uncultured bacterium
Lineage: Bacteria
Description: partial 16S ribosomal RNA
Rfam family: Bacterial small subunit ribosomal RNA
Source: RNAcentral